Molecule: ribosomal RNA, 253 nt
Filed under: uncultured bacterium
Lineage: Bacteria
Description: partial 16S ribosomal RNA
Rfam family: Bacterial small subunit ribosomal RNA
Source: RNAcentral
UACGGGGGGGGCAAGCGUUGCUCGGAAUUACUGGGCGUAAAGGGCUCGUAGGCGGCCAACUAAGUCAGACGUGAAAUCCCUCGGCUUAACCGGGGAACUGCGUCUGAUACUGGAUGGCUUGAGUUCGGGAGAGGAAUGCGGAAUUCCAGGUGUAGCGGUGAAAUGCGUAGAUAUCCGGAGGAACACCGGUGGCGAAGGCGGCUUCCUGGACCGACACUGACGCUGAGGCGCGAAAGCUAGGGGAGCAAACGGG